Molecule: long non-coding RNA, 1736 nt
Organism: Cebus imitator (Panamanian white-faced capuchin)
Lineage: Eukaryota; Metazoa; Chordata; Mammalia; Primates; Cebidae
Exons: 3
Source: RefSeq, a predicted model, not a curated record
CUCCUGCUGCCCUCCAGGAAGAAGAAAUGCCAGAGGUAGAAAUUGACAUUGAUGAUCUUCUUGAUGCAGACAGUGAUGAAGAGAGAGCUUCAAAGUUACAGGAAGCUCUUGUAGACUGCUACAAACCAACAGAGGAAUUUAUCAAAGAGCUGCUUUCUCGGAUAAGAGGCAUGAGGAAACUGAGCCCUCCACAGAAGAAGAGUGUAUGAUUCUGGAACAGGGUGGAACUCUCCCGGAGACGAAGAGGGUCCUGGGAUUUGUACUUCAUGAAGACUUUUGUGAAAGAAUACGUGUCCUUAUGAACAAAGUUUUUUUUGGUGUGAAGGUGGGGGGAGUCUAUUAGACAUUUAUUCAAGAGUGUUUCUUUUUUGGUUUUAAAGGUUUUCGUUAAUGUAAUAUUUUAAUAGCAAAGAUAUUAUGACUGUGGCCACAGCCCAACCAAGGAUUAUCAAAGCAGGUGGACACUCAAGGAAGGGUCGUGCCAGGCUGCAUUUUCUGCAAGGACUCAGAUGUUUAGUACCUUAUGAUACAGGGAAGAUAGUUUUCUUACAACUAGUUUGGUAAUUUCUUUUUUAAGUUGUACAUUUGACUCAGCUGUCAAAUUUCUUGUACUUGUAUAUAUCUACACACAACUAAGUUAAAAUGUUGAUGUGAGUUUUAUUUCACAUGGAUGGAAUAAACUUGUGGUCGUCCUUUAACUGGAGGUCACAGCAUAUGUGUUUUCAAGAGGCCACUAGGCAUUCUUCACUGAGUGCUGCUGACUUCAACAUUCACUUUAUGCACCAAAGUGAAAGAAUUCAGUGUAUCCGUUAUUUUAAUGUGCUACACUACAGAAAUGUUAAGUUGGUCAAGGGCUUAAUUUAUGAAAUGUCUAUUAUUUCAUUGGUUGGGAUGCUUUGCCAGGUCAUGUGCUUAUUGCCUCAUCUGUGGUCUUUUAAAGUUUUAUGAACCUUUCAUUUGAAGAACUAACUUGAUUUCUAGAGAAAUGCCCACACUAUCUAAGUGGUAUUUUGCAUUGGAAAAAGGAAGCGCUGUGUAGCAACAAAUUGUCUGCUUUCAACUCAAUACUGUGUAUUAUUCUUUCUCCAGGAAAGCAGAUCAAAAGGAAGUUAGCAGAUCGAGUGUCUUCUUCCUUACAAAUAGAUUCUGGUAGCUUCCGUGCCUGGGGUAGCAUCAGACCAGUGCAUGUAAACUAAGUGUUAAUGUCAAGGCGAGAAAGCCUCACAUUCUCUCAAGACAGUUGCUAUAGGAGCCGACAUUGCAGGUUUGGAAGUGUGGUGAUUGCAUUUCUGGCUUCUCUCACUGGCUUGUGUUGAGGACUCUGGGUGCUUCUGGCCCUAAUUGUGCACCCUGAUCCCCAUGCUUGGAUCUAGGCCUGGUGGUGUGCUCUAGACCUCUCAGUUUCCAGCUCUUUGGAGAAGGAUACAAAUUCAGAUGGGAUGUGGGAUGGGUAAUAGGUGAGAGUAGAAACUCUUCCUUCACUCCAGGAGGCCCUUGCUGCUUCCCACAGAAACCCACCUACCAUAAGAUGUCUCUAGGUGGCCUUGUCCAAGGACGGGGGUCAGGCAUUUUAUAUCAAGGGUGCUCGGAACAUAUUUUAUUUUUUAAAGAAACUAUGUUUGUGAAUUCUGCGUAUACUGGCAAGGUUUUGAACAUGUAUUUAAUUUUGUAUUGUUUACCAAUGAUUUAUUUACAAGCUAUUUACUCAAAUAAAUGGAGCUGCUUACAAGUCUGUU